RNAcentral lists this ribosomal RNA (207 nucleotides) under uncultured bacterium. RNAcentral describes it as "partial 16S ribosomal RNA". It matches the Rfam family "Bacterial small subunit ribosomal RNA", at positions 568 to 774 of the family's 1533-position model. The record is from RNAcentral.
CACGUAGGCGGAUCGGUCAGUUAGGGGUGAAAUCCCAGGGCUCAACCCUGGAACUGCCUUUAAUACUGCCGGUCUAGAGUUCGAGAGAGGUGAGUGGAAUUCCGAGUGUAGAGGUGAAAUUCGUAGAUAUUCGGAGGAACACCAGUGGCGAAGGCGGCUCACUGGCUCGAUACUGACGCUGAGGUGCGAAAGCGUGGGGAGCAAACA